This 468-nucleotide ribosomal RNA is filed under the name uncultured bacterium. RNAcentral's name for it is "partial 16S ribosomal RNA". It matches the Rfam family "Bacterial small subunit ribosomal RNA", at positions 28 to 507 of the family's 1533-position model. The record is from RNAcentral.
GACGAACGCUGGCGGCGUGCUUAGCACAUGCAAGUCGAACGGAAAGGCCCUGCUUUUGUGGGGUGCUCGAGUGGCGAACGGGUGAGUAACACGUGAGUAACCUGCCCUUGACUUUGGGAUAACUUCAGGAAACUGGGGCUAAUACCGGAUAGGAGCUCCUGCUGCAUGGUGGGGGUUGGAAAGUUUCGGCGGUUGGGGAUGGACUCGCGGCUUAUCAGCUUGUUGGUGGGGUAGUGGCUUACCAAGGCUUUGACGGGUAGCCGGCCUGAGAGGGUGACCGGCCACAUUGGGACUGAGAUACGGCCCAGACUCCUACGGGAGGCAGCAGUGGGGAAUAUUGCACAAUGGGCGGAAGCCUGAUGCAGCAACGCCGCGUGCGGGAUGACGGCCUUCGGGUUGUAAACCGCUUUCGCCUGUGACGAAGCGUGAGUGACGGUAAUGGGUAAAGAAGCACCGGCUAUCUACGUG